GUAUUUUGGCUGGUUCGUUUUGUUUUCAAAGGACAGCUGACUGACAACAGGCCAAAUCAGCUUUAAGUUCUCAUCUUUUGUCAACUUGUUAGAUCUACGUUCUACCCCAGAAGGGCCAGCCCCAGCAGCCUGUUGACCAAAGGAAGCUUUCUGGCAUGAAUUAUGAAGACCGUCUUAAAGCUUACAGGAGGAAAAAGGCAAUGGAAAGCAUUUACAACAGGGUAAAAAGCGCUUUCGAUUUCAGCCAGAAGGACCAGGAGAAGAGACCUGUUCUAGAUGAAAGUGAGGAGGAUGAAAGAGGAGAAGUUCCUGACAAAUCAGAAUUGCUAGGAGAGUUGGAUUGUAUUGAUGUUCAGAGUGUAUCUUCCGAUGAUAGCAUCAGUAUUUCUUGGUCGAAAAAGGAUGUGUUGUGGUUCAUACUCAGGCUUUCGCUCUGGGGCUCGCUUUAUUACCUUGCGAUCAAAGUGGAAUUCGGCACUGUGUUUCUUGCUAUAUCGGCCUUGAUUUUCAUAUACUACAAUACAAGGACGGGGCAAAAAAAAAGAGGUGAAGUGAGCGCAUACUCGAUUUUCAACAAAAACUGCCAGCCGAUCGACGGUACGUUGCAGGCGGAACAGCUUCAGAGAGAGAUGCUCGGUGGUUUCUUAUAUCAUAAUUGAUUACUUGACGUUAACAAAGAGGGACAGUAUAUAAGAAUGUUGGACUAAUUUGUUACAGAAUGUUUUGGAGAUCGAUACAAGGAGAUUGACAAAUACAGGGGGGGACUAUUUUCAAAUGUGAUAAUAAAUUAUUUUUGUUAAACUAAUAAAAUUUUAUAUUGUU
This is an RNA transcript of Cimex lectularius (bed bug), 822 nucleotides long. RefSeq lists it as uncharacterized. The transcript is spliced from 5 exons. The record is from RefSeq and is a predicted model, not a curated record. NCBI's taxonomy places the organism in Eukaryota, Metazoa, Arthropoda, Insecta, Hemiptera, Cimicidae.